RNAcentral lists this ribosomal RNA (429 nucleotides) under Chloroflexota bacterium. RNAcentral's name for it is "Chloroflexi bacterium partial 16S ribosomal RNA". It matches the Rfam family "Bacterial small subunit ribosomal RNA", at positions 355 to 776 of the family's 1533-position model. Lineage: Bacteria; Bacillati; Chloroflexota. The record is from RNAcentral.
UGGGGAAUAUUGCACAAUGGGCGCAAGCCUGAUGCAGCCAUGCCGCGUGUAUGAAGAAGGCCUUCGGGUUGUAAAGUACUUUCAGCGGGGAGGAAGGGAGUAAAGUUAAUACCUUUGCUCAUUGACGUUACCCGCAGAAGAAGCACCGGCUAACUCCGUGCCAGCAGCCGCGGUAAUACGGAGGGUGCAAGCGUUAAUCGGAAUUACUGGGCGUAAAGCGCACGCAGGAGGUUUGUUAAGUCAGAUGUGAAAUCCCCGGGCUCAACCUGGGAACUGCAUCUGAUACUGGCAAGCUUGAGUCUCGUAGAGGGGGGUAGAAUUCCAGGUGUAGCGAUGAAAUGCGUAGAGAUCUGGAGGAAUACCGGUGGCGAAGGCGGCCCCCUGGACGAAGACUGACGCUCAGGUGCGAAAGCGUGGGGAGCAAACAGG